This 468-nucleotide ribosomal RNA is filed under the name uncultured bacterium. RNAcentral's name for it is "partial 16S ribosomal RNA". It matches the Rfam family "Bacterial small subunit ribosomal RNA", at positions 28 to 507 of the family's 1533-position model. The record is from RNAcentral.
GACGAACGCUGGCGGCGUGCUUAACACAUGCAAGUCGAACGGAAAGGCCCUGCUUUUGUGGGGUGCUCGAGUGGCGAACGGGUGAGUAACACGUGAGUAACCUGCCCUUGACUUUGGGAUAACUUCAGGAAACUGGGGCUAAUACCGGAUAGGAGCUCCUGCUGCAUGGUGGGGGUUGGAAAGUUUCGGCGGUUGGGGAUGGACUCGCGGCUUAUCAGCUUGUUGGUGGGGUAGUGGCUUACCAAGGCUUUGACGGGUAGCCGGCCUGAGAGGGUGACCGGCCACAUUGGGACUGAGGUACGGCCCAGACUCCUACGGGGGGCAGCAGUGGGGAAUAUUGCACAGUGGGCGGAAGCCUGAUGCAGCGACGCCGCGUGCGGGAUGACGGCCUUCGGGUUGUAAACCGCUUUCGCCUGUGACGAAGCGUGAGUGACGGUAAUGGGUAAAGAAGCACCGGCUAACUACGUG